CCUACGGGUGGCAGCAGUGAGGAAUAUUGGUCAAUGGCCGUGAGGCUGAACCAGCCAAGUCGCGUGAGGGAAGAAGGCCCUACGGGUUGUAAACCUCUUUUGUAGGGGAAUAAAGAGAGUCACGUGUGACUCAUUGAAUGUACCCGAAGAAUAAGCAUCGGCUAACUCCGUGCCAGCAGCCGCGGUAAUACGGAGGAUGCGAGCGUUAUCCGGAUUUAUUGGGUUUAAAGGGUGCGCAGGUUGGUUUUUAAGUCAGGCGUGAAAGUUUGGGGCCCAACCCUAAAAUUGCCGUUGAAACUGGAUGUCUUGAGUGCGUUUGAGGUAGGCGGAAUGCGUGGUGUAGCGGUGAAAUGCAUAGAUAUCACGCAGAACUCCGAUUGCGAAGGCAGCUUACUA
This 396-nucleotide ribosomal RNA is filed under the name uncultured bacterium. Its description in RNAcentral is "partial 16S ribosomal RNA". It matches the Rfam family "Bacterial small subunit ribosomal RNA", at positions 338 to 731 of the family's 1533-position model. The record is from RNAcentral.